GGAUUAUGGCUCAGCGGUAGAGCGUUCGCCUAGCAUGUGUGGGGCCCUGGGUUCGAUCCUAAGCACCA
RNAcentral lists this transfer RNA (68 nucleotides) under Marmota monax (woodchuck). RNAcentral describes it as "tRNA.Ala". The record is from RNAcentral. Lineage: Eukaryota; Metazoa; Chordata; Mammalia; Rodentia; Sciuridae.